Molecule: ribosomal RNA, 468 nt
Filed under: uncultured bacterium
Lineage: Bacteria
Description: partial 16S ribosomal RNA
Rfam family: Bacterial small subunit ribosomal RNA
Source: RNAcentral
GACGAACGCUGGCGGCGUGCUUAACACAUGCAAGUCGAACGGAAAGGCCCUGCUUUUGUGGGGUGCUCGAGUGGCGAACGGGUGAGUAACACGUGAGUAACCUGCCCUUUACUUUGGGAUAACUUCAGGAAACUGGGGCUAAUACCGGAUAGGAGCUCCUGCUGCAUGGUGGGGGUUGGAAAGUUUCGGCGGUUGGGGAUGGACUCGCGGCUUAUCAGCUUGUUGGUGGGGUAGUGGCUUACCAAGGCUUUGACGGGUAGCCGGCCUGAGAGGGUGACCGGCCACCUUGGGACUGCGAUACGGCCCAGACUCCUACGGGAGGCAGCAGUGGGGAAUAUUGCACAAUGGGCGGAAGCCUGAUGCAGCAACGCCGCGUGCGGGAUGACGGCCUUCGGGUUGUAAACCGCUUUCGCCUGUGACGAAGCGUGAGUGACGGUAAUGGGUAAAGAAGCACCGGCUAACUACGUG